RNAcentral lists this ribosomal RNA (481 nucleotides) under uncultured bacterium. RNAcentral's name for it is "partial 16S ribosomal RNA". It matches the Rfam family "Bacterial small subunit ribosomal RNA", at positions 28 to 507 of the family's 1533-position model. The record is from RNAcentral.
GACGGACGUUGGCGGCGUGCUUAAUACAUGCAAGUCAACUGAAGCAGUGGUAGCAAUAUCGCUGUGGAGGUGGCGCACGGGUGAGUAACACGUAGGUAAUCUGCCUUCAGGUCUGGCAUAACUCCGGGAAACCGGGGCUAAUAGCAGAUGAUGCAGCGGCUCGACAUCGAGACAGUUGUUAAAGCUAUGGCGCCUGAAGAUGAGCCUGCGUCUGAUUAGCUAGUUGGCGGGGUAACGGCCCACCAAGGCAACGAUCAGUAGCUGGUCUGAGAGGAUGAUCAGCCACACUGGAACUGAGACACGGUCCAGACUCCUACGGGAGGCAGCAGUAAGGAAUAUUGCUCAAUGGGAGAAAUCCUGAAGCAGCAACGCCGCGUGAGGGACGAAGGGCUUUUGCUUGUAAACCUCUGUAGUGAGAGAAAAAAAUCCCAAUCUUUGGGACAUGAUGGUAUCUCAAAAGUAAGCCCCGGCUAACUACGUG